RNAcentral lists this ribosomal RNA (468 nucleotides) under uncultured bacterium. Its description in RNAcentral is "partial 16S ribosomal RNA". It matches the Rfam family "Bacterial small subunit ribosomal RNA", at positions 28 to 507 of the family's 1533-position model. The record is from RNAcentral.
GACGAACGCUGGCGGCGUGCUUAACACAUGCAAGUCGAACGGAAAGGCCCUGCUUUUGUGGGGUGCUCGAGUGGCGCGCGGGUGAGUAACACGUGAGUAACCUGCCCUUGACUUUGGGAUAACUUCAGGAAACUGGGGCUAAUACCGGAUAGGAGCUCCUGCUGCAUGGUGGGGGUUGGAAAGUUUCGGCGGUUGGGGAUGGACUCGCGGCUUAUCAGCUUGUUGGUGGGGUAGUGGCUUACCAAGGCAUUGACGGGUAGCCGGCCUGGGGGGGUGGCCGGCCACAAUGGGACUGAGAUACGGCGCAGACUGCUACGGGAGGCAGCGGUGGGGAAUAUUGCACAAUGGGCGGAAGCGUGAUGCAGCAACGCCGCGUUCGGGAUGACGGCCUUCGGGUUGUAAACCGCUUUCGCCUGUGACGAAGCGGGAGUGACGGUAAUGGGUAAAGAAGCACCGGCUAACUACGUG